RNAcentral lists this ribosomal RNA (374 nucleotides) under uncultured myxomycete. RNAcentral describes it as "SSU rRNA". It matches the Rfam family "Eukaryotic small subunit ribosomal RNA", at positions 76 to 405 of the family's 1831-position model. Lineage: Eukaryota; Evosea; Eumycetozoa. The record is from RNAcentral.
UCUCUCUGAAUCUGCGAACGGCUCCGCAAACCAGUUGUAAACUAUGGCAAGAAAGCCCCUGAUCCGGCUCACGCCGGGGACGGCGGGUGAUAGGGACACCCCUGGUAAUUCUGAGGCUAAUACCUGGCCGUACACCCUGGCUGCUUCUCAGCGGCUGGGGACCGUGCGAACCAUUGCAACGGGAAAACCGGGAAAGGACGCACAGUCAAACCGCGGCACAAGGAGUCUGGUGGCGCCUCCGGGCAAAGCCGGUCUUCGCGGGCCUUGCAGUGUGCUUCUGACCUAUCAACUGCACAGCAGUGUAACGGACAUGCUGUGGUUACAACGGGUACAGAGGAUUAGGGUUCGAUCCUGGAGAGUGGGCCUGAGAGAUU